GCAGUCUGACCAGCCAUGCCGCGUGGAGGAUUAAGGCCCUCUGGGUUGUAAACUCCUUUUAUCUGGGAAGAAAUGUACUUUUUCUUGAGUACUUGACGGUACCAGAGGAAUAAGCACCGGCUAACUCCGUGCCAGCAGCCGCGGUAAU
Molecule: ribosomal RNA, 148 nt
Filed under: uncultured soil bacterium
Lineage: Bacteria
Description: partial 16S ribosomal RNA
Rfam family: Bacterial small subunit ribosomal RNA
Source: RNAcentral